RNAcentral lists this ribosomal RNA (520 nucleotides) under Escherichia coli IS5. RNAcentral's name for it is "LSU rRNA". It matches the Rfam family "Bacterial large subunit ribosomal RNA", at positions 1 to 560 of the family's 2925-position model. Lineage: Bacteria; Pseudomonadati; Pseudomonadota; Gammaproteobacteria; Enterobacterales; Enterobacteriaceae. The record is from RNAcentral.
GGUUAAGCGACUAAGCGUACACGGUGGAUGCCCUGGCAGUCAGAGGCGAUGAAGGACGUGCUAAUCUGCGAUAAGCGUCGGUGAGGUGAUAUGAACCGUUAUAACCGGCGAUUUCCGAAUGGGGAAACCCAGUGUGUUUCGACACACUAUCAUUAACUGAAUCCAUAGGUUAAUGAGGCGAACCGGGGGAACUGAAACAUCUAAGUACCCCGAGGAAAAGAAAUCAACCGAGAUUCCCCCAGUAGCGGCGAGCGAACGGGGAGCAGCCCAGAGCCUGAAUCAGUGUGUGUGUUAGUGGAAGCGUCUGGAAAGGCGUGCGAUACAGGGUGACAGCCCCGUACACAAAAAUGCACAUACUGUGAGCUCGAUGAGUAGGGCGGGACACGUGGUAUCCUGUCUGAAUAUGGGGGGACCAUCCUCCAAGGCUAAAUACUCCUGACUGACCGAUAGUGAACCAGUACCGUGAGGGAAAGGCGAAAAGAACCCCGGCGAGGGGAGUGAAAAAGAACCUGAAACCGUG